AGUCAGGUCAAUCUCAAAGACAGGAAAAGAGAUGGACGUGCAGCAAGGAAGAAUAAGAAGGGAGGCAGCCCCAAAGGCAGCCUGAAUGCAUAGAAACGACCACCACCUCUUCUCCCACUGCCUCACUCCUCCCAUCCCACAGGGGCACUUGGCAGAGGGCCCAGGCCCAGAUGAGGGUCAGCAUGGGGACCACUACCGUGAAAAGGCAAGACAAAGAUGGUCCAGAUCAGCACAGAAACAGAACCGCCAAAGGCGGCACGGGAGCCCUGACCAGGGCCUGGCUCUCUCCUUGCCAGGACUGCCGCUGUCACUCAGGCCCUCCAGAGCCACUGGCUGCGAAGGUUGGACCUCCGGCUGGAAUCUCCUAAAGCCCCUGUCAAACAGGACAGAAUGUGGUAACAGAACAGAGGACAAUGAGCACACAGAUGAGUUCCAGCGACUUUAGCACGCUAAACACAUGGCCAAGUCGGCCUGAGAAGGUGGGGAAAGUGGGUGAAGCUAAUGCUUAAAUACAAAACUGCCUCCCAUUUGCUAAGCACUAACUAAGUGCUUUACUUAUAGUAUCUUACUUAAUCCUCACAAUGAUUAAAUGAGGUAGGCACCACUCUCUGCCUUUCUUUGACAGCUAAGGAAACAGUUUAGGGAGGGGAAGUAACCUGUCUGAGGUCAUCCAAUUUGGAGUCACGGAGCCAGACCCUAGUCUGUCUGAUUUCCAAGCAUAACUUAUUGCAACCAUUCUGCCAGGCUUUGCCAGUCCUCUGGGACGGCCCACACCUCCUCUCCCAGGACCACCUCCCAGCCUUCUCUUCUUCCUCUGACCCCACCUAUCCCAGGCCCUUCCAGCCCCUCUCCCCCGUCAACCAGGUGCACCUGUGGCUGAGCUCACUGCAGCGGUGCGGCAGGGGCCCCUGAGCAGUGAUAGUGGACAUUGAGCCACUUGCCAUCCCGACGGUGCCAGACCCGGGUCUCUUCUGACUGGCUGGUGCGAGGCCGACCCUGCCCGUCGAUGUACUGGGUGAGGCGGAUGUAGGCGAUGCACGCUGCGUCCUCCCCAAUCACGUGGACGUGUGGGUUUAGGAUGGUGGUAUGGAUAGGCUUGCUGUUCUUGGACAGGACUGCAGGGCAGGGUGGGGUAGGUAAGAGGACAUCAGGCCUGGGCACCUGCAUUUUCCUCCCAGCCUGCACUUCCAAGUCUUACCAUCUCCCAAGCAACCACUCCCAGAAUCUCCAAGUACCGCCCCCCCCCACCCCCGAACCCCUGAACGCCCUCCAGAGGCCAGGAUGCCACAUUACAUUAGUCUCCUUUAUCCAAAAGGAACAGAAAGAUGGGUAACAGUGACAGUACCUGCUGCGCUUUUAAUCAGGCAUUGUGCUGGGGUUUUACAUGCCCGAGCUGUAUUUCUUGGUGGAUAAUAUUUUCUUCAUUAUAAGAUGAGGAAAUAGGCUCAAGGAAUAAUUUGCUCAAAUCACACACCUGAACUCAGGACCAUGUGACUCUUAACUAAAGCCUAUAGAUUUUCUAUUCUGUUAGGCUGAGUUUAGAUUUCAUAAGGCUUGGCUCACCCCUAGCUAGGGCUGCAGAACAAAAUCAUGAACUUAAACCAUUCAAAAUUGAUUUGUAAUUUUUUUUAAGGCACCAAAGCUGAAAUAGAAUCAUCAAAGCACCAAGCUCAGGAUAUUCCCAGGAUUCUCUGGGGAAAAGGCAAAAGAAGUUGGAUUGCCAUUAUCAGCAUAUGCUGUGAAAACUGUGUUGCUUUUAUUGAGAUUCACAUUUUAGUUCAAUUCAAAUGUUAGACAGGGGCUACAUGACACCUUCCUAGUACUAAUAUAAACUCUGGAAUUGCUUCUGGCUAAUAGAAUUACUUAGAUAACAGAGAGUUUAUAUAUGUAGCUGAGAUGUGAUAAGGGUGGGAGCCAGCGGAGAAGUUAGUGACUAACUAUAACUCAGGGCAGGAUAGGGAAGGCCCAGCAUAAAGUGGGAAGAGAUAAAAAUAAGGAAGGGGAGGGUCUCAUAGAGCAGAGAGAAAGAUGGGAGGGGGUGAUGAUUCAGCUUCUUAUCCCCUUAUUUUCCAUGAACUGUCCAGAAUGUACACCCCACCCCCUAUACAAGACGUCUGCCUUCCUCCAUAGUCAGGAAGAUUCUAGCCACAACUUCCGAUCUCGCAAAUCACCAACAGUGCCCUGGUUUGCACAUUCUUAUCCUGGUUUUAAUUUCCUCUAUUGUGAAACCUGCAGACACAGAGCUUAGUUCUUAUGUGCUGAGAUCAUCUCAACCUAAUCUCAAAGGGUUUCCUUCCAAUCCGUCUUGGAAAGAGGUGAGGCUUAAAUAAUUUUUUCUUUUUUUUUGAGAUGGAGUCUUGCUCUGUUGCCCAGGCUGGAGUGCAGUGGCCUGAUCUUGGCUCACUGCAAGCUCUGCCUCCCAGGUUCACAUCAUUCUCCUGCCUCAGCCACCCGAGUAGCUGGGACUACAGGCACCGCCACCACGCCCGGCUAAUUUUUUGUAUUUUUAGUAGAGAUGGGGUUUCACCGUGUUAGCCAGGAUGGCCUCGAUCUCCUGACCUCGUGAUCCGCC
Molecule: long non-coding RNA, 2572 nt
Filed under: Homo sapiens (human)
Lineage: Eukaryota; Metazoa; Chordata; Mammalia; Primates; Hominidae
Description: HSALNT0164439
Source: RNAcentral